GACGAACGCUGGCGGCGUGCUUAACACAUGCAAGUCGAACGGAAAGGCCCUGCUUUUGUGGGGUGCUCGAGUGGCGAACGGGUGAGUAACACGUGAGUAACCUGCCCUUGACUUUGGGAUAACUUCAGGAAACUGGGGCUAAUACCGGAUAGGAGCUCCUGCUGCAUGGUGGGGGUUGGAAAGUUUCGGCGGUUGGGGAUGGACUCGCGGCUUAUCAGCUUGUUGGUGGGGUAGUGGCUUACCAAGGCUUUGACGGGUAGCCGGCCUGAGAGGGUGACCGGCCACAUUGGGACUGAGAUACGGCCCAGACGCCUACGGGAGGCAGCAGUGGGGAAUAUUGCACAAUGGGCGGAAGCCUGAUGCAGCAACGCCGCGUGCGGGAUGACGGCCUUCGGGUUGUAAACCGCUUUCGCCUAUGACGAAGCGUGAGUGACGGUAAUGGGUAAAGAAGCACCGGCUAACUACGUG
RNAcentral lists this ribosomal RNA (468 nucleotides) under uncultured bacterium. RNAcentral describes it as "partial 16S ribosomal RNA". It matches the Rfam family "Bacterial small subunit ribosomal RNA", at positions 28 to 507 of the family's 1533-position model. The record is from RNAcentral.